GACGAACGCUGGCGGCGUGCUUAACACAUGCAAGUCGAACGGAAAGGCCCUGCUUUUGUGGGGUGCUCGAGUGGCGAACGGGUGAGUGACACGUGAGUAACCUGCCCUUGACUUUGGGAUAACUUCAGGAAACUGGGGCUAAUACCGGAUAGGAGCUCCUGCUGCAUGGUGGGGGUUGGAAAGUUUCGGCGGGUGGGGAUGGACGCGCGGCUUAUCAGCUUGUUGGUGGGGUAGUGGCUGACCAAGGCUUUGACGGGUAGCCGGCCUGAGAGGGUGACCGGCCACAUUGGGACUGAGAUACGGACCAGACUCCUACGGGAGGCAGCAGUGGGGAAUAUUGCACAAUGGGCGGAAGCCUGAUGCAGCAACGCCGCGUGCGGGAUGACGGCCUUCGGGUUGUAAACCGCUUUAGCCUGUGACGAAGCGUGAGUGACGGUAAUGGGUAAAGAAGCACCGGCUAACUACGUG
Molecule: ribosomal RNA, 468 nt
Filed under: uncultured bacterium
Lineage: Bacteria
Description: partial 16S ribosomal RNA
Rfam family: Bacterial small subunit ribosomal RNA
Source: RNAcentral